Molecule: ribosomal RNA, 449 nt
Filed under: uncultured bacterium
Lineage: Bacteria
Description: bacterial SSU rRNA
Rfam family: Bacterial small subunit ribosomal RNA
Source: RNAcentral
GGCCAGACUCCUACGGGAGGCAGCAGUGGGGAAUAUUGCACAAUGGGGGGAACCCUGAUGCAGCGACGCCGCGUGGGUGAAGGAGUAUUUCGGUAUGUAAAGCCCUCUCAGCAGGGAAGAACAAUGACGGUACCUGACUAAGAAGCCCCGGCUAACUACGUGCCAGCAGCCGCGGUAAUACGUAGGGGGCAAGCGUUAUCCGGAUUUACUGGGUGUAAAGGGAGCGUAGACGGCAGUGCAAGUCCGGAGUGAAAGCCCGGGGCUCAACCCUGGGACUGCUCUGGAAACUGUAAAGCUGGAGUGCGGGAGGGGCAGGCGGAAUUCUUGGUGUAGCGGUGAAAUGCGUAGAUAUCAGGAGGAACACCGGCGGCGAAGGCGGCCUGCUGGACCGUAACUGACGUUGAGGCUCGAAAGCGUGGGGAGCAAACAGGAUUAGAUACCCGGGUACA